UAUGCAACCUACCUCAAUCAGGGGGAUAGCCCGAAGAAAUUCGGAUUAACACCGCAUAAAAACACAGUACAGCAUUGUACAAUGUUCAAAUAUUUAUAGGAUUGAGAUGGGCAUGCGUGUCAUUAGCUAGUUGGCGGGGUAACGGCCCACCAAGGCGACGAUGACUAGGGGAUCUGAGAGGAUGACCCCCCACACUGGUACUGAGACACGGACCAGACUCCUACGGGAGGCAGCAGUAAGGAAUAUUGGUCAAUGGAGGGAACUCUGAACCAGCCAUGCCGCGUGCAGGAAGACAGCCCUCUGGGUCGUAAACUGCUUUUAUUCGGGAAUAAACCUACUUACGUGUAAGUAGCUGAAUGUACCGAAGGAAUAAGGAUCGGCUAACUCCGUGCCAGCAGCC
Molecule: ribosomal RNA, 400 nt
Filed under: Pedobacter sp. Z4_53
Lineage: Bacteria; Pseudomonadati; Bacteroidota; Sphingobacteriia; Sphingobacteriales; Sphingobacteriaceae
Description: bacterial SSU rRNA
Rfam family: Bacterial small subunit ribosomal RNA
Source: RNAcentral